AGUGAACGCUGGCGGUAGGCCUAACACAUGCAAGUCGAACGGCAGCACAGUAAGAGCUUGCUCUUACGGGUGGCGAGUGGCGGACGGGUGAGGAAUACAUCGGAAUCUACUUUUUCGUGGGGGAUAACGUAGGGAAACUUACGCUAAUACCGCAUACGACCUACGGGUGAAAGCAGGGGAUCUUCGGACCUUGCGCGAUUGAAUGAGCCGAUGUCGGAUUAGCUAGUUGGCGGGGUAAAGGCCCACCAAGGCGACGAUCCGUAGCUGGUCUGAGAGGAUGAUCGGCCACACUGGAACUGAGACACGGUCCAGACUCCUACGGGAGGCAGCAGUCGGGAAUAUUGGACAAUGGGCGCAAGCCUGAUCCAGCCAUACCGCGUGGGUUAAGAAGGCCUUCGGGUUGUAAAGCCCUUUUGUGGGGAAAGAAAAGCAGCAGGUUAAUACCCCGCUGUUCUGACGGUACCCAAAGAAUAAGCACCGGCUAACUUCGUG
This 492-nucleotide ribosomal RNA is filed under the name uncultured bacterium. Its description in RNAcentral is "partial 16S ribosomal RNA". It matches the Rfam family "Bacterial small subunit ribosomal RNA", at positions 29 to 507 of the family's 1533-position model. The record is from RNAcentral.